This 444-nucleotide ribosomal RNA is filed under the name uncultured bacterium. Its description in RNAcentral is "bacterial SSU rRNA". It matches the Rfam family "Bacterial small subunit ribosomal RNA", at positions 83 to 518 of the family's 1533-position model. The record is from RNAcentral.
UCCUGGUGGCGACCGGCGCACGGGUGAGUAACGCGUAUCCAACCUCGCCCCACAGGUAGGGGAUAGCCCGGCGAAAGUCGGAUUAAUACCCUAUGUUUUCCCUUGAGAGCAUUUGACGGGGAACAAAGGUUUACCGCUAUGGGAUGGGGAUGCGUCCGAUUAGGCAGACGGCGGGGUAACGGCCCACCGUGCCUUCGAUCGGUAGGGGUUCUGAGAGGAACGGUCCCCCACAUUGGAACUGAGACACGGUCCAAACUCCUACGGGAGGCAGCAGUGAGGAAUAUUGGUCAAUGGGCGGGAGCCUGAACCAGACCCAAGUAGCGUGCAGGACGGCGGCCCUAGUGGGUUGUAAACUGUCUUUUGCCGGGGAAUAAAGUGCGGGACGUGUCCCGUUUUGUAUGUACCCGGAGAAUAAGGACCGGCUAAUUCCGUGCCAGCCGCCGC